GUGGUGGCCAGAGCCAACCUCCUGCAAGUGUAAUGCUGACAGAAGUAGGAAAAAGAGUAGGAAUCCCUCUUCCCACCUUUCAAUCUCCUUGUAAUAGUUGCUCUUUUCAGAUGGUCUGAGGAAUAUUGUUUGAGAUUCUCAAUCCUUGAGUCACAGAGCAGAGUAUAGAAAAGCUGUCUCUCAGUAAGUCAAAAGCCCACCAGAAAACUUUUUUUCAUCGAUAUAUUUUUAGAUGAUUCCAGUCACACAGAUACACAGGCUAUCAAUUAAAACUCUCCACUUCUGACCAUUUAUAAUAAAUGAACUUCUC
RNAcentral lists this long non-coding RNA (310 nucleotides) under Homo sapiens (human). RNAcentral's name for it is "HSALNT0127291". The record is from RNAcentral. Lineage: Eukaryota; Metazoa; Chordata; Mammalia; Primates; Hominidae.